RNAcentral lists this ribosomal RNA (468 nucleotides) under uncultured bacterium. RNAcentral describes it as "partial 16S ribosomal RNA". It matches the Rfam family "Bacterial small subunit ribosomal RNA", at positions 28 to 507 of the family's 1533-position model. The record is from RNAcentral.
GAUGAACGCUGGCGGCGUGCCUAACACAUGCAAGUCGAACGGACAGGCCCUGAGCUUGGGCGAUGCUCGAGGGGCGAACGGGGGAGUAACACGUGAGUAACCUGCCCCUGAGGUAGUGAUAACUACAGGAAAAUGGGGCUAAUACCGGAUAGGAGCUCCUGCUCCAUGGUGGGGGUUGGAAAGUUUCGGCGGUUGGGGAUGGACUCGCGGCUUAUCAGCUUGUUGGUGGGGUAGUGGCUUACCAAGGCUUUGACGGGUAGCCGGCCUGAGAGGGUGACCGGCCACAUUGGGCCUGAGAUACGGCCCAGCAUCCCACCUGACGCAGCCGUCGCGACUCUCGCCCAAUCGAGGGAAGCCUGAUGCAGCAGUGCCACGUUCGGAAAAACAGCAUACGCGUUGUAAACCGCUUCGGCUGGUCCGAGAACGGGCCUGACGGUCAUGGGUAAAGAAGCACCGGCUAACUACGUG